UUCUGGGAUGAUAUCGCUGCAUAGGAAGUGCCGUCCGAUGCGAAACUGACGAUUGGAAAAGCUUUUCUGAGA
Gadus morhua (Atlantic cod) is the source of this 72-nucleotide small nucleolar RNA. Ensembl annotates it as small nucleolar RNA SNORD49. The record is from Ensembl. NCBI's taxonomy places the organism in Eukaryota, Metazoa, Chordata, Actinopteri, Gadiformes, Gadidae.